This 928-nucleotide ribosomal RNA is filed under the name uncultured bacterium. Its description in RNAcentral is "bacterial SSU rRNA". It matches the Rfam family "Bacterial small subunit ribosomal RNA", at positions 9 to 906 of the family's 1533-position model. The record is from RNAcentral.
GAGUUUGAUCCUGGCUCAGAACGAACGCUGGCGGCGCGUUUUAAGCAUGCAAGUCGAACGGUAGCUAGGCUUCGGCCUAGUGAGAGUGGCGAACGGGUGAGUAACACGUAGGUGAUGUGCCCGAGAGUUGGGGAUAGCUCAUGGAAACAUGGGGUAAUACCGAAUAAUCUGCGCUAUUAUGUUAGCGUAGGAAAGAGGCGUUCGCCUCGCUCACGGAUCAGCCUGCGGCUUAUUAGCUAGUUGGUAGGGUAAAGGCUUACCAAGGCGAUGAUAAGUAGCCGGCCUGAGAGGGUGAACGGCCACACUGGGACUGAGAUACGGCCCAGACUCCUACGGGAGGCAGCAGCUAAGAAUCUUCCGCAAUGGACGAAAGUCUGACGGAGCGACGCCGCGUGCAUGAUGAAGGCAGAGAUGUUGUAAAAUGCUUUUAUGGGGGAGGAAUAAGGAUAGCAGGAAAUGGUUGUCUGAUGACGUUAACCCAUGAAUAAGCUCCGGCUAAUUACGUGCCAGCAGCCGCGGUAAUACGUAAGGAGCGAGCGUUGUUCGGAAUUAUUGGGCGUAAAGUGCGUGUAGGCGGUUUGCUAAGUCUGAUGUGAAAGCAUGCAGCUCAACUGUAUUGUUGCGUUGGAAACUAGCAAACUAGAAUUCGAGAGAGGAAAUUGGAAUUCCUGGUGUAGGGGUGGAAUCUGUUGAUAUCAGGAGGAACAUCUGAGGCGAAAGCGAAUUUCUGGCUCUGAAUUGACGCUGAAGCGCGAAAGCGUAGGGAGCAAACAGGAUUAGAUACCCUGGUAGUCUACGCUGUAAAUGUUGUGCACUUGGUGUUGGUUCCUCAUUUGAUGCAGAGAUGUGUUAAAUGAGGAAUCAGCGCCGAAGCUAACGCGUUAAGUGCACCGCCUGGGGAGUAUGCCGGCAACGGUGAAACUCAAAG